GAGGAGGGGGGGAAAAGAAGAAGAAGGAGGGGAAGCUGCCUUCUUCUUUUGUAACCGACUCCCAUGGGGUGACGGGCGGUGUGUACAAGGCCCGGGAACGUAUUCACCGUGGCAUUCUGAUCCACGAUUACUAGCGAUUCCGACUUCAUGGAGUCGAGUUGCAGACUCCAAUCCGGACUACGACGCACUUUAUGAGGUCCGCUUGCCCUCGCGAGGUCGCUUCUCUUUGUAUGCGCCAUUGUAGCACGUGUGUAGCCCUGGUCGUAAGGGCCAUGAUGACUUGACGUCAUCCCCACCUUCCUCCAGUUAAAAGG
Molecule: ribosomal RNA, 314 nt
Filed under: Paenibacillus larvae
Lineage: Bacteria; Bacillati; Bacillota; Bacilli; Caryophanales; Paenibacillaceae
Description: partial 16S ribosomal RNA
Source: RNAcentral